AUUUGGCGGACGGGUGAGUAACACAUCGGAACGUACCCAGUUGUGGGGGAUAACCUACCGAAAGGUAGGCUAAUACCGCAUGAGCUCGGUGAGAGGAAAGCGGGGGACUCGCAAGGGCCUCGCGCGACUGGAGCGGCCGAUGUCCGAUUAGCUAGUUGGUGGGGUAAAGGCUUACCAAGGCGACGAUCGGUAGCGGGUCUGAGAGGAUGAUCAGCCACACUGGGACUGAGACACGGCCCAGACUCCUACGGGAGGCAGCAGUGGGGAAUUUUGGACAAUGGGCGCGAGCCUGAUCCAGCCAUGCCGCGUGAGUGAAGAAGGCCUUCGGGUUGUAAAGCUCUUUCAGGUGGAAAGAAAACGCAUGGGUCAAUACCCUGUGUGGAUGACGGUACCAUCAGAAGAAGCACCGGCUAACUACGUGCCAGCAGCCGCGGUAAUAAU
RNAcentral lists this ribosomal RNA (441 nucleotides) under uncultured bacterium. RNAcentral describes it as "bacterial SSU rRNA". It matches the Rfam family "Bacterial small subunit ribosomal RNA", at positions 93 to 526 of the family's 1533-position model. The record is from RNAcentral.